This 670-nucleotide ribosomal RNA is filed under the name uncultured Chlorobium sp. Its description in RNAcentral is "bacterial SSU rRNA". It matches the Rfam family "Bacterial small subunit ribosomal RNA", at positions 1 to 700 of the family's 1533-position model. Lineage: Bacteria; Pseudomonadati; Chlorobiota; Chlorobiia; Chlorobiales; Chlorobiaceae. The record is from RNAcentral.
UUAGAGUUUGAUCCUGGCUCAGGACGAACGCUGGCGGCGUGCCUAACACAUGCAAGCCGAAGGAAAGUGGCAACACGAGUACUUGGCGCAAGGGUGAGUAAUGUAUAGGAAUCUACCCUUCGGUCUGGGAUAACUUCGCGAAAGCGAAGAUAAUACCAGAUAUUGAGGAGACUUGAAAGAUUUUAUCGCCGAAGGAUGAGCCUAUAUCCCAUCAGGUAGUUGGUAGGGUAAUGGCCUACCAAGCCAACGACGGGUAGCUGGUCUGAGAGGAUGAUCAGCCACACUGGAACUGAGACACGGUCCAGACAUCUACGGAUGGCAGCAGUGAGGAAUAUUGCUCAAUGGGUGAAAGCCUGAAGCAGCAACGCCGCGUGGGCGAUGAAGGUCUUCGGAUUGUAAAGCCCUUUUGUAGGGGACGAAAAACUCGCUCAGCGAGCCUGACGGUACCCUACGAAUAAGCCACGGCUAACUCUGUGCCAGCAGCCGCGGUGAUACAGAGGUGGCGAGCGUUGUCCGGAUUUACUGGGUGUAAAGGGUGUUGUAGGCGGAUUUGCAAGUCGAGGGUUAAAGCCCUUCGCUCACGAAGGAAGUGCUCUCGAUACUGCAAGUCUAGAGUGCCGGAGGGGAGGCUGGAAUUUCCCGGUGUAGCGGUGGAAUGUGUAGAGAUCGG